UCUGCUUUCUAACCACGGCUGUAACUUUCUGGUUGAGUGGCCACGACUGCAAACAAGGCCAGUUUCACUAAAAACCUAGUGUGCUUCUCCCCCGCUCUCCCUCUCUCCUCCCCACUCUGUCCUCACCUACAGGUAUCAUCGGACUCAGAGCUAUGUGUCUGCGAUGGGCAGCUAAGGAUCCAACCAUCCAGUACCUGGUCCAACCAUUCUGCCUGUGCUCUGUUGUUGUUAUUGUUGCUGUGCUUUUCUUUCUCUUUAUCCCCUCACCCCAACCGAAUAAGCCCAUGAUAUAAAGUUAUAGUGGAGUCAGUGUGGCCUCUGCUCAUCUUUGCAAAAGUAAAGAGGCUACCCUCCCUGUCCUGUAGGUUGUUGGCGCGGGUGUUGUUCUUACGUUCCUCAGUCCCAAAACAAAAAGACAGAAUGCUUCAACUAGAGUUUAGCUGACUUUGCGGAUCUUUAUUCUGUCUAAACAACUCCACGGACUUCGUCUUAACGUCCUGCGAUCUGCAUUCUAUCGUGGCUAGCUGGCUAGGUUAACGGGUUUAGCCCCAGGUAGCUAACUGAAGUUUUUUUUUUACCAAAUCGUAACUUUUUUCGUGUCAUCACUCUUAUCCCAGCACUCGACAGUCUACAGUGGUAAAUCUAGCGUGAACAAGAACACACCACAAAGAUACUACUAUCUGCAGCUCUUUAACACCACCUGACGCUAGCACUAGCCUUGAGUUUGCAGUGUGAGUGUGGGGCGGCUGGUGUGAGAUUGAGCCCCUCCCAACCUGAGGCCAUCGUCUCUGCAGGAAAAGGGUGGCUGGUGUUUGUUAGGGGAGCGCUCCUGCUCCAUGAGGACGGGUUAAGCAUUUUCUGGUCUUGUUCACGAGUGAGAGAACGAGCGCAACACCGACUGUUCCACGCUCCUUCUCUCGGUCAUAACUUUUGACUUAUGACCAGACAAACAGGACGCAGCUCCUCCACGUGGAGAGGAGCGUUGGGCUUAGGCUUAGAGUUAGGGUUCUCUGACUGCCUGGCAUCACUAUUAGAUGCCUCCUGGAUCCCUUCCAGGUCAGGUGAUCCAGACCAGACCUGCAGGAAGAGGCCCUGGGGAAGACCCAGGACAGGACGGACUAUGUCUGGACUGCUCCUGGGAACGCCCUGGGACCCCCCGGUGAGCUGCAGGUGGCCAGCGAGUGGGACUGGGGUUAGGGCCAUGGUGACCAAUUGGAAAACUUGAGCAAUACAAGUGACGACUAGAUGAGCGACGACUCAACAGAGGUCACCACUUCAAAUUAGAAAUACAAAUUUAAUUAAAAUUAAACGGACUAUCUCUAUUCAAAUUCUAUAAUAACAUAGGGACAUUUUAAUCCAGUCUUUCCUUAAAAGGGGAAAGCAGUUGAACAUGAGUCAGCCUCCAUCCUUCUAGUCACCCUCCUUCUUUCUAUAGUCAACCUCCCUCCUUCUAGUCAACCUCCUUCCUUCUAGUCAACCUCCCUCCUUCUAGUCAACCUCCCUCCUUCUAGUCAACCUCCUUCCUUCUAGUCAACCUCCUUCUUUCUAGUCAACCUCCCUCCUUCUAGUCAACCUCCCUCCUUCUAGUCAACCUCCCUCCUUCUAGUCAACCUCCCUCCUUCUAGUCGAGGUCCCUCCUUCUAGUCAACCUCCCUCCUUCUAGUCAACCUCCCUCCUUCUAGUCAACCUCCUUCUUUCUAGUCAACCUCCCUCCUUCUAGUCGAGGUCCCUCCUUCUAGUCAACCUCCCUCCUUCUAGUCAACCUCCUUCUUUCUAGUCAACCUCCCUCCUUCUAGUCGAGGUCCCUCCUUCUAGUCAACCUCCCUCCUUCUAGUCGAGGUCCCUCCUUCUAGUCAACCUCCCUCCUUCUAGUCGAGGUCCCUGACAGUCACACUCCCGCCUCCUUUCCUCUCACCCUCCAAGCUCUUUCCCUCACUCCCUCCCUCUAGUCGAGCUCCCUCAUGUUCAAGCCCCUUCCCCUCUCACCCUCCAGGCUCCGUCACUGCCUCCCUCUAGUUCAGCUCCCUGUUCAAGUUCCCCCCUCUCUCCCUCUAAGCUCCAACCGUUCCUCUAUUCGAGUUUCCUGAUGUUCAAGCUCCUUCCUUACAGUAUGUCCUUCCAACCACCCUUCUUCGCUCUAUUCAUGCUCUCUUACUCCCUCCCUCUCACCUUGCAAGCCCCCUCCAUCCCUCCCUCACUCCAAGCUUCCUCUCUCUAGUCAAGCUUUUCCUCCCUCCCUCUUACCCUCCAUGCUCCCUCCAUCCCUCCCUCUCAUCAACCUCUCUCUUUCUAGUCAAGCUCUCUUCUUCCCUCUCUCUCAUCCUACAAGCUCCCUUCCUCCCUCUAACCGAGCCCCCUCAUGUUCAAGCUCCAUCCCUCCCUUUAUUCAAACUUUUUUCCUCCCUCCCUCUCACCCUCCAAGCUUCCUCCGUCCCUCCCUCUCUUUAACCUUCCUCUUUGAAGUCAAGCUCUCUUUUCCCCCCUCGCUCUCCCUCCAAGUCCCCCAAACUCUAUCUCCAACAUCUAGUCUCCCCCCGACUGUCUCUCCCUCCUUUUAUCUCUCCAAGUCCCCUCCCUUCCUCCCGCUCCCUCUCCUCUUUUGAAUCUCCUUCUUUCCUUCCAUCCUUUUCUCUCCAAGCUUGCGCUCUUCUGCCUUCUUUUGCUCCGUCUCUCUCCCUCAUUCUCCUUCUCCAAGCUCCCUCCCUCUCUCCCUAUCCCUCUCUUUUUUCCCUCUGUGCCUCUGAAUACCAGAGCUGAUGCAGCGUAAGGGCAGACUCCUGAUGACAGGUGUAGCUGUGGAGGCUGGAGAACUUCAUUCAGGGUUUCCUUGACGACAGAGGCCAGAUAAUGACCUUAGGACGUGGAAAGAUGUCAUUCCCUGUGUUUCCGGAAGCUCAGUGCACCUGGUUGUCCUCAACAUCAGCCUUCCUCAGUUUCUCCCCAAAUCCAAACUAUCAUUCAAUUAAUGUGUCACCCUAGAAAUAACCCUGCCCUCCACCUCACCACCCAACAAACUGGCCACUAUUUUAAAAACUGAUUCCCACAAACCGGCUGCUAUGAUGACAGGCGAGUCAGAGCUUUGCCCCAGACCUCCACCAUCUCCACCAACAAGAAAUCCUCUGUCUUUGAGCUGUACACGUGAAAACGUUUAUGUAUAAAUGAUCAAGAGAUCAAAGAAUAUUGGCUUCAAUAACGUUUUGGCAACAUGAAAACAUCUUACUGGUUUAACUGGUCUCAUACAUACAUAUUAAAAGUGGCGAAAUAACACGUCAUUAACCGACAUUUUUAAUUUCAUACAAUAUAAACUGUCCUCGUCACUCAAUUUGGAGAAAACAAAUAUAGAACAAACAUGUUGCUGCAACAAUGAGUCGUAGAUCUGCUGAGUCCUGGCGUCAUGUCAUAGAGUUAAACAUUUACGAUCGACGACUACUGUAAAGCGAAUUACAGUGGCAUCACUACGACCACUGGAAAACUUGUAGCGGGUGUUAUUUACAAGUUAUGGCAGUUUAAAGCCCAAAUAAACAGCUGUAGUCUCAGACCGAGCCUCACUGUGCAUCUGUACGAGGCGGUGCGCGCUCCCGCGUACAGCGGUGCGCGCUCCCGCCUUGUUGUCGCAAACAGACACUUUUUGCACCGGGAGUUUGAAAACAGAUCACACCCGCUACAUGUGAGACUCAUUGAGGUUAACUUCAGCUUCACGUUUGCAGUCCCCACAGUGACCAGCAGAUGGCAGCAGCGACCUGCGGGGCCGCAGUGAGCUGCUCUGACGCACAAGCACCUGGACGGCGAUAGAUCACCACAGUCCUCUGAGCUCUGAACAAACAUGCCAAGUCCCGAGUGAUGGAUAUCUACAGCCACAUUUACAUACACUAACUUCAUAAGUGUGAUGAUAGCAUUGUAAAGUUUCCAAAGCAAGUCAUGCAAAUAACCCACACAUCCAGUCAGGCUGCAUUUGCAUCUUUCUGAUAUUAGAAACUUUGUUUUGUUUUCAUUCGGCAAUGAGAAGACAACCUAUGUUUAUUGGACUUUUUUUUCUACAUAGCACAGUUCAAAAUUUGUCUGAAUUUACAUCAAGCGUAUUUUAUCCAAAUCAGUUAAAAUAAACAAACAUAUUUUUUCCAGUCUUCCCCAGAGAUAAAUAAUGAAACCCACACUAUUACACUUCCUAGAAACAAGCUGAACAUUUCAGUCGUGCCUAUUUCAGUCCUGUCCAUUUUGCCUCAGAAUCACUUAUUAAUACAUUUGACAGCUUUCUGUGUGGUUCGAGGCAUUGACCUUGUAGGACAUUGAAACGAGUCCAUCAGACAUCGGAUCAUUUGAAUAUCUGACAGAUCAGUAAACAAAACCACACAUUAAAACUUUGAUCUCCACUUCCCCUCCUCCACAAUUCUGCUCUUUUUGAUAUGUGUCCAUAAAGGGUGAACACAGGGUUCCUGAAUGUAAAUUCUACUCAAAUAAACAAACCUUAUUAAGUCUGUGGUUGAAACCGCCGCCCCCUUCAGAUUCAGGAAAGGACUGUGCCGCAGUGAUUUGGCAGUGAAAGGACUAGUGGUUGUGGCUUCCAUUCACCUUGAAACCAUCUGUAAAAGGCUCUGGUGGAUCUCUGCCGUGGCAUUUUUAUAGAUGCAAAAGAUCUCCCUUGAAUUAAUUUGUCCUUGUCCCCUUUCUUUAAUAAAUCUUUUGCUUUGAUAUUGAUGCAAUUGUUUUCGGUGAAGCAAAAUUAAAGAACUUUAACUGAAAGUUGAGAAUUUUGUCCGUGUGUGAACGCUGGGCCACAUUGUUUAACACGAGUAUUAAUGAGACAAUAAAUAAUCCCAUUUUAUUACACACAGUAGCAGUAGGCUGCAGAAUAACAAAGGUCUUAUCAACAAAACAAAAGAAUACGUAAAACUUAAUUUCUGAAUGAAGGUGUUCAAGGUUGGCAGGUGUGUGCAAACAGGGCCGGGUUAUAAUUAGUUUUACAUGAGCCAGAUUUGGCAGCGAGCUGUUUGUUUGUACUCGGUGUUAUUUGAGAGCAUUAUUUGAAUAACCAAUGCUUACAUUGUGGUGCACUUACUUCUGAUGGAGUGGCUGUUUAAACAGAGAGGAGAGGCGGCGUCAGAGUGACGAGGGCCACACAUUUUGUCUUCAUUAUUGUUCAUGCUGGAACCUUGGUGCAGUGUUGACAUGUCGGCUUGUUCUCUUUCUAGUCCAUAUUUCUCUCUUUUGCUUUAUUUGCAUUUUGCCCUUUCACUUUUUCUAUUUGUAUUCUAUUUUUUUUAUUUUUGCCUUCAUGUCUCACUACCAGUAGUAAAUGGGAGUGCUACAAAUGGCCUAGUUACAGUUCUACUGUACGUCGUUGUUUUUAUUGUCAAGUCAUCCGUCAGCGUCAGCCAUUAGAGGAGCGAUUCACUCUGAAGACAUUUCAGUUCAGGGAAAGACAUUUAGCUAAUUAUCGUCUCGCAGGGCGCUGCUCCCAUCGUUCUCAGCCAACUGCUACGCUCUCUAUCCAGCGUUCCUCGUUCCCCCUCUUAGGUCCUUCUCAUAAAGGGAAAGGUUCGUCCAGAUUUGUGGGCAGGUGCUCCGCCAUCGCUCCUCCCUCGCUUUGCUUUUUGCUUUGCAGGAGCUGCCUUCGAGCGCUCUCCGGGGGCCGGCGUCUGCUCCAAUGCAGCGGCUCCGAGAUCUUUUUCCAAGAUGGUCGGGGGUCAUGAAGGAGGCUGAGAGGAGAGGAAACGCUGUCAGAGGAGUCCUCUUUGUAGUUGCCUUUGUUGCAGGUGUUCUGCCAUUCACUGUUAAAGCACGCUGUUUAAUAUUACAACCUGCCUGACAUCUGGCGCCCUGGGCCUCGCUCUGUAAUGCCGUUGGACACGUUACACAGAACUACACAGGUUGAAUACUAAAUGAUACACAGAACAAGAUGUUUGUAUUUAAAUGCCAGGCAAAUACGCUGCUUGUCUGUCCUCCAGACAAUAGGACAAAGAAGUGGUUUAUUCAAAUGAAACCAACUCCAGCA
Molecule: long non-coding RNA, 5992 nt
Organism: Betta splendens (Siamese fighting fish)
Lineage: Eukaryota; Metazoa; Chordata; Actinopteri; Anabantiformes; Osphronemidae
Exons: 3
Source: RefSeq, a predicted model, not a curated record